This 75-nucleotide transfer RNA is filed under the name Sphaerodactylus townsendi. RNAcentral describes it as "tRNA-Ala". The record is from RNAcentral. Lineage: Eukaryota; Metazoa; Chordata; Lepidosauria; Squamata; Sphaerodactylidae.
GGAGGGACCUUGGCUUAGUGGUGGAACAUCUGCCUUGCAUAUAGAAAGUCCUGGGUUCAAUUCCAGGCACCUCCA